CAUAGUGAAAGAAAAAGACAAAGCGAGAAACAUGAGGUAAUACUAAGCUUCCCGCCAACCUCUCUGCUCUCCUCGAAACACUCAGAAAGACUUCGGCGCGCGCGCUCAGCCCGCCCACUUUAUAAGCCUCUACACGUGGGUUCCCCCCUCCCGCCCGUUUGCCCCGCCCCGUUCUUCACAGGAGCCAAUCACCAGCGGCGGAGACUCUCUCCUGCUUCCCCUUUCUCGCGCCGGGGCUCCAUGCUCUCGCGAGAUUGGGUUAGUAAACAGCUCGCCCCCUCAGCCUCCCUCCCCAUUCGAGGCACCGGAGAGGGAAGUGGACGGGCGCUUCCAGGCUGGUGUGGAGGGAGCCGGGCGAGCGGGAGAAGCGGCCGGAGAUUAGGGAUUGUCUGCUUUUGUCUUCUCCAUGGCCACUCUUGUCUGUAGAAGCAGUUGUCCAAGGAGCAAAUGGAUGGUCAGCUUUGUAAGUAAGGCAGCACCCCCUGUCAGUAAGACUACAUCAGUCAUGUAGCGUGUGUGCUCAAAUACAUCAUACAAAACCUAAAAUAGGUGUUUUUUUUCAGAAUUAAUGAAACUCAUAGGUGACUACAUUAGUGACUGCUGUUGCUUUUUGAUAAAAAUGGGAGACAUAUAAAACUUCUUUGUAUCAAGAUCUGGCUUGCAGCUUUUGAAUUCAGCUAUUUGUACUGUAGGUUAAACUUUCUGAGUUGAUUCUUCACAGUAGCUUGGUUUAAUGUUUGUAAGGGAAUUUAUAAACUUUUUUCAGAUCUAUGGAUUAAGAUUGUGGUGUAUAAUAUUGAAGUUGAUUGUUGUGUGUCUGCUCCCCCCCCCCCCCCGUUUUAUCCUCUUAAUGGACAUAUUUUUAUAUUCUCUCAAAUGCAAUGAGAGGAAUUAAAAUUUUGAAACAGUUUGAUCUGAAAGUAUAUUCUGAGAGAUAUGUAGCAAGUUUAUCUGUUAGGACAAUAAAAGAAUUACGUUAAAUGCCAUUUUAUUAACUCUGAUAUGAAAAGUAAACUGGCAUUAUGUAGUAAAUUGCUCAGUUUUGUUGAUCUUGUGAAGGCUUUUCAUAUCUUGGGUAAUGAUGGUAGGCAUAAAUCAAACAUCCUAUUGAAAAUAAACUUGAUUCAUCUUUUCUCACUUCCUUUUCAUUUGAUUUAGGUAUUUAAAGAUUUGCUAUCAUCUAUAAUUGCAUUAUUGUGUUCUUCGGAGUAUGAGUACUCUAAACAAACAGCAUUACUAAAGUUGAAUUGCCUAAGAAACAUUUUAUCUCAUGUUGAUCUGAAAAAAGUGUGCUAAGUUAAUCUAAAAAUCUGUUGGCUGUACAUGAUAAAGUUGAAAAGUCAAUUUCCCUUUUAAAAAUUAUAUUGGUUUUUUGGGCAGGGGAAAUAAUGAAGAACUGGGUCAUGAUUGAUUGUCCCUGCCAUUUUGCAUUUUGGUUCUCUAAAUUUUGGCCUUGUGUUUGAGGAGUGUAGGGAGGAGUUGGCCUUUCCCAGAGGAAGAGUAUCAGUUUGGAUGGUUCCCAACCUUUGGUCUUUCAAGAUUUUUUGAACUUCCAACUCCCAGAAAUUUCAGUCAUCUUACCAGCUGCUAGAAAUUCUGGAAACUAAGGUCCAGAACACUUGGAGAACCAAAGGUUGGGAACCUCUGGUUUAGAUGAUCUUACCCAACUAAGCAAAUGCUAUAUUUCAUCGCACAAUAGUCACCAUCAUAUAAUAAUCACAUCCCAAGCUUUUUGGUCCCGGUUUUGGUAUUUUCAAAUUCCACAUAUAAUAGUCACACCCUUAAUUUACUGGUAGGCAGCUUCCCUAUAGUAAACACCCACCCACUCGCCUGCCUGCCCACCCACCCGCUUGAUUCACUCGUCUGUCCGUUCGAACAACCAUCUAUCCACUGCAUUCAAGUGGCAUUUUUGGAAGGGGGUGGGUGUCUGGAAUGAGUGUUUGUGGGCAAGUGAGAGAGUGCAUGGGGUUGUGAGUGAGUGAAGCAGGCAGGUGUGUCUUUGGGCAGAAUGAUGGGCGAGUGAGUGAGUGAUGCACCCUUGCUCAAAGUGAUUGGCAAGCAGUAAAGCUCUUUAGGGUAAGGCAGAAAGACAUUUGGAAUGAAUGCUGAAGUGUCUAUAUCGCUGAGGUUGUCUUCCUACACAGAACUGCUGACCAUGAAUCAGGGUAAAUUCGUAUGGAGGUUACUUAGCACAGUUCUGAUUGAGAGUCUUUGUUUUUACUGAGGAGCAUGGAAACAGAGCUUCAGAAAAGCAGUUUUCUGUAAAUGAGAGGUUCCUGUAUGACUGGCAAAAAGUGAAAGACAAGUUAGAGAAAACCACCCUUAUUCAGUGCAUUUAGAGGUCCCAAAUCAAGCAAGUUUUCACAAAUUGAUG
This 2374-nucleotide long non-coding RNA is filed under the name Anolis carolinensis (green anole). RNAcentral describes it as "lncRNA (ENSACAG00000035388.1)". Lineage: Eukaryota; Metazoa; Chordata; Lepidosauria; Squamata; Anolidae. The record is from RNAcentral.